Molecule: unclassified non-coding RNA, 329 nt
Filed under: soil metagenome
Description: partial contains 5.8S ribosomal RNA, internal transcribed spacer 2, and large subunit ribosomal RNA
Rfam family: 5.8S ribosomal RNA (bases 1-120)
Source: RNAcentral
GAUGAAGAACGCAGCGAAAUGCGAUAAGUAAUGUGAAUUGCAGAAUUCAGUGAAUCAUCGAAUCUUUGAACGCACAUUGCGCCUCUUGGUACUCCGAGGGGCAUGCCUGUUCGAGCGUCAUUAUAACCCCUCAAGCUCAGCUUGGUGUUGGGGCCUGCUGCACUGGCAGCCCUUAAAAUCAGUGGCGGCGCCAUCUGGCUCUAAGCGUAGUAAUUCUUCUCGCUAUGGAGUCCUGGUGGAUGCUUGCCAUCAACCCCCAAUUUUUCUAUGGUUGACCUCGGAUCAGGUAGGGAUACCCGCUGAACUUAAGCAUAUCAAUAAGCGGAGGA